GGACGUUUUCCUAAAGGAAAUGGGGAGCCGUGAGAGGACUUUAUACAGAGGAAUGCUAAUUUCAGCACCAGACCCCUAGUCAUCCAGAUUAGCCAGUCUGAUUCAUUCCAUCCUCUCCCCGGUUUCCUCAGAUACAGUGAGUUGCCACAUCUGCUUCUCCCACAUUUGCUGCAUUGCUCCCUCCUCCCAAGCGAACCAUUGUCUCCCACGUGAACUCAUUGCCUCCCACGUGGACUAUUGCAACGCUAUGGAUCCCUGCUCAACUUCAGUUCCACUAAUACUCGCACUGCUGCCAAGGUUACUUUCAUCUUGUAGCUCUGACAUUCUCAGGGCAUCAGAGUCCCCUAUUUCCAGCAACAGAGUGAGCAAAGAGAGAAGGUGGAGAAGGCACCCUUUUUUACUACCUUGGCCUGGAAGUGAUACAGAGCACUUCUGUUCACAUUCCAUUGGUAACAGAGAAUUAUUCUAAUCACGAGUUCUCCACAAUCUGUCUGCAGUGCUGUGCAUUUGUCAGACCUCACCCUGAUCCUAUGAAAUGUCAGUAAGCUGCCUGGAAGAAAGAACUCACAUGGUUGACAAAACCCUCUCAGAUGGGUCAGUUACACUGAAAGUAAAUAUAGCCCCAAACUCGUGUAUCCCGGAGACCCAGGCCAGCUCCCUGAGACUUUUCACCUUUAUUUCCGCAACUACAAAAUGGGCAUGACUGCAAAUCAUGCUCCUUCCUGCAAAGGGCUUUUAUAAAAUAUCAUGAGAAAAUAUUGACAAAACAUUGUGAAUUCGUGGUUAAAAUAUUCCUGGAACAUCUCAGUGGAUAUAGAAUUUGGG
RNAcentral lists this long non-coding RNA (825 nucleotides) under Equus caballus (horse). Its description in RNAcentral is "lncRNA (ENSECAG00000045509.1)". Lineage: Eukaryota; Metazoa; Chordata; Mammalia; Perissodactyla; Equidae. The record is from RNAcentral.